AGCCACGGCCGUGCUGCUUUAGGAGCGGGAAGGUAGGAGCUGCUUUGCAGGGUGGGUGUGUGUCGGUGAAGAUGUAAACAUUUAGGGGUGAAUGAUGCAUUUUCAAGUAGUUUGAGGACUAGUUUGAUUCAAAUAAGUUGGAGAUUUCAGAGAUUUAUUUAUCUUUCAGCGUGCAGUCAAGUAAGUCAAGUUUGAAUGUAGCGGGUGCUCUUUGAGUGAAUUGCACGUGCGAAUUAGAAGAAUAUGUUGAAGUUAGACUUUGACUUGAGUCGUGAUUGGGCUGCUGACUCAACUACCCACCCUCUAAUGGGGGCUCUGAAGCCCAAUAUCUCUUCUAAUGGAUACAGGUUGGAGGGCAAAUUACUGGUAAGGAAGAGCUUGGAAAUUUGGCAAAUCAAGGGGUCGAGAAUCCUUUAUUGCAUAUCAUUGUUAAAGUUUUGGAAAUUUCACUCGACUUUAAAUUUUAUUUAUGUAUAUAUAAUUUGAUUUCUUCCAUUGAAAGGUGCGAUAUCCACACCUUGGUUCCAUCGUACAUUACCAAAUUACUAUGCAAGAAAUGAGGAAGAAUCUAACAACUAUGCUUAGUAUUUAUCUGCGCAAUCUCCUUCAAGAAUUAAACUCAAAAGUUUAAUCUCUGGCCAGUAGAUACAGAGAGUCCCUCUCUCAUGUUAAUUAAAACUGAGUAGCGCAUGAACUUCUUACAUGGGGCGUGUUUUCAAGAUUAUUUCCCCAGUUUUAAACAAAUUCUAUUAAACACUAUGAAUUUUUUUCAUAGUAUUUACCAACUUUCAUAGAUUUAUAAAACAUAGGAUAGAAUUUCCAUACUUGAGAAAUUUAAUCUUUGUUAUAUAUGUAAAGGUAUGGAUGGUUGAUAUUUUGAUAUAUGUUGGAUUGCCACUUUUGGCAUAAGCAAAAAAUAGAUAAACAAGAAGACUGAAGUACAGACCACUGCCUGUAUUGGUACUUGCAUGUGCAAAGACCAAAGUGAACAAGAGCUCAAAAACCUCCAAGCAUUACAAAGUCUGAGUAGCUUUGGAAGCGGAACAGUUUUCAGUGUAAAUGCUGGCGGCGGCGGAGUUGUGUAAGCCUACCUUUGUCUUUUACUUCAUUCCCUCUCUUCAUGUCUUUUUCUUGUGUCUUCCCAUUUUGUUUGGAUUUACAAUGCAGCUUAUAUAUUCCAAGAAUCCAAGUCUUUCCAUGCGUUUCCUAAAUAUCCUUUGUGGGUUCAUGCAAAGGAGCCGCCUGUUUGAGCUUACACUGCAGCUUAUCUACAUUAAUCUGCUUGGUGGGAGUUGAAGCAGGACAACUAAAAUGGAGAAUACAUCUACUGCUUUUGAAGCUAUCAACAACGAACUGUUGAUUUGGCACGUACUUAUUAUUGAUCAUGUUGUUAUAUUUAUUCUACCUGCUGCAGAGUUAUUCUCAUAAUUAUACUAAAGAUUUGAUCCCCAAUAAGAAAAAACCCAAAUGCUG
Long non-coding RNA from Mangifera indica (mango), 1473 nucleotides. RefSeq lists it as uncharacterized. NCBI's taxonomy places the organism in Eukaryota, Viridiplantae, Streptophyta, Magnoliopsida, Sapindales, Anacardiaceae. The record is from RefSeq and is a predicted model, not a curated record. The transcript has 2 exons.